RNAcentral lists this transfer RNA (73 nucleotides) under Erinaceus europaeus (western European hedgehog). It matches the Rfam family "tRNA". From Rfam's summary of the family: Transfer RNA (tRNA) molecules are approximately 80 nucleotides in length. Their secondary structure includes four short double-helical elements and three loops (D, anti-codon, and T loops). The record is from Rfam by way of RNAcentral. Lineage: Eukaryota; Metazoa; Chordata; Mammalia; Eulipotyphla; Erinaceidae.
UGGGAGGUGGCUCAGUGGAUAAAGUGUUGGACUUUCAAACCUGAGGUCCCAGGUUCAAUCCCUGGUAUCACAU